CAUUUGAAAUUUUGUGCAGCAGCUCGAGCUCCACUUCCAGCUGGCUCCGCUGCUGCUGCUGCUGCUGCUGAGUUUGCUUUUAAGCUCGAUGCGCUGAUAAAACAAAAACAACGACGCAAAAGGCAAAAAAGCGAAGAGAAAAAAAAAACGAAAAAAUAAUAUGAAAUGUACAAAACUCGGGCGUUUGUUUGAGAAAUGUAAAUCUGCCAAAUGUUUUUAUGCUGGCGCUUUCGGCUUUUGACUCUCAGCUGUUUGUUUCCAAUUAGAGAGUCUCUACCACGGGGCGUAUGAUAAUUGGAUAGCCAUGCAUGCCCCGCCUUCUGCGGACCCGUCUUUGGUGCCCAAGCCCAAGUAGAGUAGCUCGUCCAAGGCUCUUUUUUUACUGUUAGCUGUUAGCUUUUAGACGUCUGCAGUGUGCUUUUGCUCUUUGUCCAACAGAUAAAUGGACAGCACCCGUGAGACCCCGAAUGGGGAAGCGGGGAUGCAACGGGGGUGGGCAAGGCAAAGUCAACAACAACGUCAACAAACAUGGCUAGAAGUAGAGCAAGAAGUGGAAGCAGCAACAACAAAGGCGCGUCAACAGUUGACAAGUGGUUCCUAAGAAGGAAGCUGGCGAAUAUGAAGGAUAAACACCAUGAAAUACUCUAAAAAUUGAGUUGCAGAAACGCUUGCUUUAAAAAUAUUAAAUUAACAAAUUGAGAAGUAGCCUCAACUCUAUAAAUCUAUAAACAAACAAGAAUUAAGCUAAAAAAUAUAAAUUGAAAAGCAUUUUCAACUCAUUAAAUCUUUAAACAAACAUUAACGCAAAUUGAGCCAGCUUUAAAAAAUAUUAAAUUGAAAAAUUGAAAACCUCUUACAGCUUGAUGAUGAAUGCAACAUACCCUUUAGGCAUUGCGAAAGGGUAACGACGAAGCUAAAGUAUACCUUUGAGCGGCACUGCAAUAAGAUAGCAAAAUGUGGGCGAAGUGAGAUGGCUAUAAAUACUAGCAGACGCCUUGGGAACGUCGUCGUCUGACAGUUGCUAAAACUAUGCCAACGGCACUUAAGGUUAAAGCAGCAGCAGCAGCAGCAGUAGCAGACGAACAAGUAGUUGCCGGAUGGCAGGCGGGGUCAGUGUGGCAGUCGGUUAGUCAAUGGUCGCUCGCAAUGGACGCAACAGUUGGUUGGCCACUCGUUUAGGGUUUUUGGUACCCAGCGUGCAGAAACAGAACAGAAUGACAACCGCGACGACACGGCAAUUUGGUCAGGCUCGAAGCACACAAACAAAGUGGCCAACGUGCUCGCUCUUGUCUUUAUUGUUGUGCUUUGUUUGCUGUUGCUGCUGUUGUUGUUGCUUUAGUAGCUGGAAAAAUGUUUGCUAGCAGCCGUUGCACAUUAUUGUUGCGCCUUUUAUGAGUGUGCUACACAUUGCGUAUACGUAAUAUGGCAAGCUGUUGAUAAAGCAAACAGUAAAUUGUUGACUAUGCAGCAAUUUGAGUAAAAUAAUAUUAUUUCUCGUACA
Molecule: long non-coding RNA, 1501 nt
Organism: Drosophila sulfurigaster albostrigata
Lineage: Eukaryota; Metazoa; Arthropoda; Insecta; Diptera; Drosophilidae
Exons: 2
Source: RefSeq, a predicted model, not a curated record